RNAcentral lists this ribosomal RNA (194 nucleotides) under uncultured bacterium. RNAcentral's name for it is "partial 16S ribosomal RNA". It matches the Rfam family "Bacterial small subunit ribosomal RNA", at positions 338 to 524 of the family's 1533-position model. The record is from RNAcentral.
CCUACGGGAGGCAGCAGUGGGGAAUUUUGGACAAUGGGCGCAAGCCUGAUCCAGCAAUGCCGCGUGCAGGAUGAAGGCCUUCGGGUUGUAAACUGCUUUUGUACGGAACGAAAAGCCCUGGGUUAAUACCCUGGGGUCAUGACGGUACCGUAAGAAUAAGCACCGGCUAACUACGUGCCAGCAGCCGCGGUAAU